This is a long non-coding RNA of Dermochelys coriacea (leatherback sea turtle), 155 nucleotides long. RefSeq lists it as uncharacterized. The transcript is spliced from 3 exons. The record is from RefSeq and is a predicted model, not a curated record. NCBI's taxonomy places the organism in Eukaryota, Metazoa, Chordata, Testudines, Dermochelyidae.
UUGGUUUUGGAGCAGGAAUUAUGAAUACUCUAGACCUGGAGGUAAUUAACAAUAAGUUAAGUUCCUUAUCACAACUGCAAGAUAGUCUCAUUCACAAGCAGUCAGAAACUACUGUGAACUUGGUAUAAAUAGAUCUGGGAAACCUAAAAGCAACA